This is a long non-coding RNA of Helianthus annuus (common sunflower), 2526 nucleotides long. RefSeq lists it as uncharacterized. Lineage: Eukaryota; Viridiplantae; Streptophyta; Magnoliopsida; Asterales; Asteraceae. The transcript has 3 exons. The record is from RefSeq and is a predicted model, not a curated record.
GAAACUGAAUGAACAGUGCCAAACCUGUUCAUUCAGCCACAUAGGACUUAAAGGGGACUUGCUUUCCUUAAUUUCAAACCUCUUGAUUGUUGAAAUCAAUCACCGAUAGAGAGAGACCUGAAAGAGAGAGAGAAGACAUGCGACAUAAUAGACAGAGAGACAUGGUAGGGUGCUUCCACGUCUUCGAUGGCAGAGACGGUGGUUAAACCGUCGGAAUGGGUGAGAUACCGGUGCCGGAUUCUCUGGCGGUGAGAGACCUGGGAUUUCUAGGGUUCCGUCGAGGUCCGGUGAGAAUCCGGUGACCUGAACCAGGUAUGCAUGUAUCCUUUAUAGUUAGAUCGGGUCAUGGUUGUGGUUUACAACGGUGGUGGUGGUAGGGACGUGGUGGAAACCGGUCACGGAUAGGGUAGAGAGACACAUCUGGAGAGGAGAGAAAUAGAGUAGAGAGGCGGCUGUUAGGGCAAGGGUUUCACCGUCGAAGAAGUAGGGCCAUCUGACGGAGAUCGCCAGUAGGAGCUGAAGUCGAAGGAGAAAGGAACGGUGAAGGUGCCGUUGUAGAUUUAAGAGAUAAAACAUUCGAUGCCGGCGCAGAAGCUGGUGAAAACAAUGGUGCGGAAGCUGGAGAUUUACCGAAUCAUAUUCGUACAUCGGCGGCCUUAAACGCUUCAAUCGGCGGUGCAAACACCGGGAAUCCUUUCCCCGUUGCCAUCUGGUAAGGUUUAUGUUUCAAUUGGCUAACGAUCUGGCCUUAUUCGUGAGCGCCACUGCCGUCAGAUGUCGUUGAUAGGUUUGUUGACUAAUUGGUUUGAGAUUUGUCAAAGAUUGUUAGAUUGGUGAGUUUUGUGAAUUGUGGUGAAGACUUACAAAAUUAGCUUAGUGUGUAUUGAUGUUGCUGCUAUUCUUUUGAAUCCAUUUGAAGUAUGCCUUUUAAUGGAUUAUUUAUCACCCUUUUAUUUUAUACUUGCUUUGGGUUGUCUGGGAUUUGAUUCCUAAUUCGUUUGUUGUGUUGGUUAUAAUUUCAUCUCAGAUGAGUCAGGUUCGAGCAGAUCUUGGCCUUAUUUCAAGAGCAAAAGGGUAUUUCAGUGUUUAAAAUUAUUACAUGUUUACACAAGAUUAAACGAUUUGCUAAAUCUCAAAGGUGUGUUGGUUAAUAUUGGCUGUUUCUUAAUUUUUGAUGACGGUUGGUCGGCCGUUUCUAAUGGAAAUGAAUAGUGGGACAUAUUCAUUGGGCCAACUCUUCAGCCCACAUGUUCAAUUCCUGUUAAACCUUUUGCCACGCAUGAAAACACCAGCCAUAAACCCACCGCCCCUUCUGAUUAAAAAAAUGACACGAUUGCCAUAGAUAUGGUUGGUGAAAGGAGAGAGCGCCAGGCACGACGGCGAGUGGCCAGGCUGUGGUGGAGCAACGGCGGUAAUACCGAUUUCCGUCGAGUGCUUGGUUGGGAUUCACUAAACAGAAGACGAGGAGGAGGCUUAUGGUAGAUCGGUUCGGUCACACAAGCGGCCGUGAUGGUCGUACUAAUUAUUCUUCAUAAUUUGUGUUUAUGUCAGGUUAGGAUUUUAGGCUGUGAAAGGAUGAUCGCAUUACUCAACUGGCUGGAUAUGCAAAAAUGACUUGAGGUAAAUAUCUUUGGAUUUUUCAUCUCAUAUGAUUGUGUUAUGAGGUUGGGUCACUUUCAAUGUUUGAAUUGAUAUGACAUAAACAAAGUAGUUUGUUAGAUUGCAGGUCACAUUUUAUUUGUAACGGGUCAAACUGCAAAAUGUAAGGUAAUAUUAUAGCUUGUAGAUCAGCUUACAACUUUGAUUGCAAUAGUUUUUUAUUUUGUAGAUUGCAGCUAGCAUCUCUGCAUAUGGUAGGGUGAAUAUGGGUUGUUGAUCAGCUUGCAGCUUUGAUUGUAACAACUGUUUUUUUGUGUGUGCAUAUGGGAAGCCAUUGCCAUUGGGUUCCAAUAAGAUUAUCACAUAUUUGAGUUUCAAUAUUAUAAAAUUCAUUCCAGAUGACUGAUGCAAAAGCAUUUGAGCAUCAUAUAGCCAUCAUUUGCAAAUUUAAUUGUCAAUCGUAAAAUUACUACACAUACUGUAUGUGCUUACAUAUUGUUUGUAGUUUUUAUAUUACUUAGCCAUGUUUUUUGGCAUUAAGAUAAAUGGUGAAAAAGGUCCAUAUUUCUAUUAUGUUUGUGGUUGAAGCUUUGCUAUAUUCAACCCUUACUAGACUUCUUAUGUGCAGGUAUUAGAACGAUACUCGGUGCAAAACUAACUUUGUUCAACAAGUAUCUAAAUUCUUUUUAUAUAUGUGUUAUCACCAAACACAAUCUGUCAUUAGUCCAAUCGCACCAGAAUUCACCUACAAACUGGAAUUCCUGCUGCAACCAGACUUCACCUUCAAACUGGUAUUCCCGUCGCGACACACGGGCGGUUUUAGUAAAUACAAAACAUGUAUUACGGAUAUUUCUCUUUGUUCGGUUCUUUUUAUCGUUGUAAUGUGUGUAUUUUUAGUUUUUGAUAUAUUUUAGGUUUUUUUUUCUU